CGCAAUGGGAUUGAGAUAUGGCCCAUAUUCCUACGGGAAGCAGCAGUGAGGAAUUUUUCACAAUGGGCGAAAGCCUGAUGGAGCAAUACCACGUGAACGAUGAAGGUCUUCUGAUUGUAAAGUUCUCUUAUUAGGAAAAAAGCAGGAUAGAAUGAUCUGCGUGAUUGUACUAAUUGAAUAAGUGACAGCUAACUAUGUGCCAGCAGCUGCGGUAAAACAUAGGUCACGAGCAUUAUCCGGAUUUAUUGGGCGUAAAGGAAGCGUAGGUGGAGGAGUUGAUCCAUUGUCAAAAGCAUCUGCUUAACAGGUGUCCGCGAUGGAUAUCGCUUCUCUAGAAUUAGUUAGGGGGUACUGGAAUUCAAUGUGUAGCGGUGGAAUGCGUAGAUAUAUUGAGGAACACCAGAGGCUAAGGCGAGUACCUGGGACAUAAUUGACACUGAGGCUUGAAAGCGUGGGGAGCAAAUGGGAUUAGAUACCCCAGUAGUCCACGCCGUAAACGAUGGGUAUUAGGUAUUUGGUUUAAAACUGAGUGCUGUAGCUAACGCGUUAAAUACCCCGCCUGGGUAGUAUAUAUGCAAAUAUGAAACUCAAAGAAAUUGACGGGGACCUGAACAAGUGGUGGAGCAUGUUGCUUAAUUCGAUAAUACACGCAAAACCUUACCAAGGCUUGUAAUCUACUGCGAAGCUAUAGAAAUAUAGUGGAGGUUAUCGGUAUGACAGGUGGUGCAUGGCUGUCGUCAGCUCGUGUCUUGAGAUGUUUGGUUAAGUCCCGUAACGAGCGCAACCCUACUCUCUAGUUAAUUAGUUCUAGAGUGACUGAAGCCGAGAUGGGAUUGAGCAAUAACAGGUCCAAGUCAUCAUACCCGUCCGGCGCUGCACGCCAAACACGCUGCAUUGGUCAGCACAUGCCUUCCCUAACCCGGCAGGCGCGGGUAACCCGUUGAACCCCAUUCCAGAUGGGGAUCGGGGAUUCCAAUUAUUCCCCAUGAACGAGGAAUUCCCAGUAAGUGCGGGUCAUAAGCUGCGUGAUAG
Molecule: ribosomal RNA, 1032 nt
Filed under: Candidatus Mycoplasma haematolamae
Lineage: Bacteria; Bacillati; Mycoplasmatota; Mollicutes; Mycoplasmatales; Mycoplasmataceae
Description: bacterial SSU rRNA
Rfam family: Bacterial small subunit ribosomal RNA
Source: RNAcentral